This 905-nucleotide small RNA is filed under the name Pan troglodytes (chimpanzee). RNAcentral describes it as "processed transcript". Lineage: Eukaryota; Metazoa; Chordata; Mammalia; Primates; Hominidae. The record is from RNAcentral.
AGCUCGGGUCCCUUCUGCGCUGCCGCAGGGAGGCCGCCCGGGCCAGGCGAGCCGAACCAAUGCUGGACCUGGAGGUAGUGCCCGAACGCUCUCUGGGGAACGAGCAAUGGGAAUUCACGCUGGGAAUGCCUCUGGCUCAGGCAGUAGCCAUUCUUCAGAAGCACUGUCGCAUCAUCAAAAACGUCCAGGUUCUCUACAGUGAACAGUCUCCUCUAAGCCAUGACCUCAUUCUUAACCUGACUCAGGACGGGAUCAAACUAAUGUUUGAUGCUUUCAAUCAGAGACUUAAGGUGAUUGAAGUAUGUGAUUUGACUAAAGUAAAGUUAAAAUAUUGUGGCGUGCAUUUUAAUUCUCAGGCCAUAGCUCCUACCAUUGAACAGAUUGACCAGUCUUUUGGCGCAACCCAUCCUGGAGUGUACAACUCCGCUGAGCAGCUCUUCCAUCUCAACUUCAGAGGACUGUCUUUCUCUUUCCAGUUAGACUCAUGGACUGAGGCUCCAAAGUAUGAGCCCAAUUUUGCCCAUGGCCUGGCUUCUCUCCAGAUACCCCAUGGAGCAACUGUAAAACGAAUGUACAUCUACAGUGGCAACAGCCUGCAGGAUACCAAGGCUCCCAUGAUGCCUCUGAGCUGUUUCCUGGGCAAUGUCUAUGCUGAGAGUGUAGAUGUUCUUCGAGAUGGAACUGGACCUGCAGGUUUACGACUUCGCCUACUUGCUGCAGUUCUGGAGGCUGGGAAGUCCAAGAUCAAGGCACUGGCAGAUUCAGUAUCUGGAUGCGCCUGCAGUCUAGUUCAUAGAAGAGACUUCUCCCCAUAUCCUCAUAUGGUGCAAGGGGCUAGUUAACUCCCUGGAGUCUGUUUUUUAACGGCACUGAUCUCAAUCCUGAGGUCUCUGCUUCCAUAAUGU